Molecule: long non-coding RNA, 2052 nt
Organism: Betta splendens (Siamese fighting fish)
Lineage: Eukaryota; Metazoa; Chordata; Actinopteri; Anabantiformes; Osphronemidae
Exons: 3
Source: RefSeq, a predicted model, not a curated record
GUGUGUUCACGUGUUGUUUGAAGAUUGUGGUCCAACUUUGCUCCACACCGGACGCGGGGCCGUAACACGUGAUAUGUUUGCUCGCAGUUCAAAGAGAGUUGCUGCAGCGUUUUCACAGGGUUUUAUUUGCAGGUGAUCCGGUGCUGAGCAGAAACCCGGUGAUGCUGCGGUUCAGCCUCCGCCCAGCGGGGGAGCUGUUUCACUCUUCAACUUGUUAAGUCACCUGAUUCAUGAACAUCAUUUCCUGUUUAAUCUGCCUUGGCCUUCUCAUUGUUUUCACAAACACCUGUGCCCUGUAAAGACUCCUCCAUCAACAUCACCACAUGAAGGCGGCGCUGCUCGGUGACGAGGCUCGGGGGAGCUCGCGGUCCCCACUCCUUGCCCCUCAGCCGACGGCUAACGGAGCGCGCCGGCGGAUUCGACGGGGGCAAAGUUUUUUCCUGGCUGCGCGGCGGCGCGUCGCCCCCUCGGCCGCGUCGCCGCGUGCGCUGCUGUCCCGCAGUGUCGAGGGUCCACGUCAGCGGCGGUCGACGGCGCCGAGGACAACACGAGCGGCGUCAUUAGACGUCAUUCCACUUUAAAUGCUGCAAAUGUGAAACAGAAAAUUCCUCAGCGCCACCUCUGGAUUCUUCAGUAUCAGUUUGAGCCCGAAGUGUGACCUCAUUACUUUACAUUCUCACUAACUUGUGCUGAGCACCUACCACGUGCCCCCGCAGACGCUGCAGCGCAUUUAACGCAGCGUGGACUGCGGAAAUAAGCAGAGGAGUCAAUGUUGAUUAUUGCUCAUUAGCGAGGAGAACAUCCACUUAACGUGCGAGGAGUGGAGCGACACACCAUGCCCCACUGGAAGCCGUCCCCGAGUAGCUCAGAGCGAAAUGUUGGCCUAAUGCAUUCCAUUUGCUCUUUGUAACCGGGAACAGGUUGGACACGUAUGGCGACAUAAGCACGCGUGAUUACUUUGUUUCUGCUGAGGCAUUUUAAUCCCUAAUUUCAUGCACUGAUCAGAGGAGAGACCCUGAGCUCUAGACGCGAUCACUGGCCCUUCAGUAGCAUUUCAAUUGAAACCUCAUGAUCAAGAAGAGGCUUGUUCUGGGCCCCUGAGGAGCAAACAUCCUGUGAACAGUGAGGAAAUACGCAUCUUUAUUUAUAAUAAGCUUCGGCAGUAAUUCAUAAUAAAGUUCACUUGGUUCAGAUGUGCGCAGCUGCCUUUCAGUCCAACUUUGACUCAUUUAAAAAAUCUAACAACACUUUGAAAUUAUUCUAAGUUGUAUUGUUUUGACUUAUCUCUUUCUAAGUGUUAUUCAUAUAAAUAAUGCAAUAUUUUAAAGUUCUUUUAAAUUCUCUUUUAACAUUAAAUGAGAUGUAAACACUUAAUUUCCCUUUUUAUUAUACAAUUAUGGAUCGUCCGUGUUAACGUGUAAUGCUGGUCAUUUAAAGCAUAGUCACAAGUACGUGGAAAAAUGUACAGAGAAAAUACAAUUACAUCAAUCAGCUGCUUGAUGCCUUUUAUGAAUAUGCAUGGGAGGAUAAUUUAUUGGGCAGGAAGGCAGCGGGGGAGCGGAGAGGCGAGGAGCUGGGGUUUGUUUAACGCAUAUAAACCUAGAGAGGACACGGCUCGAGCGAAUCAGCGCUUUUCAUGUGCCCGUGCUGCUCUGAAUUGUACACAUUCAAAGACAUUGUCCUCGGCGACCAUCUGAGCCUAGUCGAGGAAUGUGUGACAGAUUGUGUGUCUGGAUGCGUUUUUUUUUUUUACAUAAAUGUAAUCAUAAAUACGAGCCCACUUUUUAUAACCAUGGCAAUACAUGAAAUCUAUGAAUUUUUUAAAUAUAGAUAAAAACCAUGACAACAUCAAAAAGGGAUUGUAUCCUGUUUAAUAGUAGCUUAUGAAAAACGCUUGUAAUAUAUUUAUAAAAUAUUUUAAUUUUAUUUUAAACAUAUUCCCUACAUAUUUUAAAAAAUAGUACUAAUAAGACUUUGUUGUAAUAACUUUUGAAGAAAUGAAGAAUAAAACGAAUUUUGAAAAUAGAACAUCUUGUUUUUUUUCUUUCCUUU